AGGCAUAGUUCAGCGGUAAAAUAACGGCUUCCCAAGCCGUGGUUGCGGGUUCGACUCCCGUUGCCUG
Molecule: transfer RNA, 67 nt
Filed under: human gut metagenome
Also listed under: 1 other name
Rfam family: tRNA
About the family: Transfer RNA (tRNA) molecules are approximately 80 nucleotides in length. Their secondary structure includes four short double-helical elements and three loops (D, anti-codon, and T loops).
Source: RNAcentral